This 1298-nucleotide long non-coding RNA is filed under the name Heterocephalus glaber (naked mole-rat). Its description in RNAcentral is "lncRNA (ENSHGLG00100042671.1)". The record is from RNAcentral. Lineage: Eukaryota; Metazoa; Chordata; Mammalia; Rodentia; Bathyergidae.
CCCUGAGGCUUAAAACCUUCAACAACGCUUCCUCUGGGGUGUAAGCUCUUCUUACUGGCUCACCCUGUGGAGGGAGUGUACUUUCACCUUCAAUAAACCUUUGAUCUUGCUGCUCCUUUUGCGUGUCCUGCUCAAUUCUUUGUUCAAGACACUAAGAACUUGGAUAAGACCCUUCAUCGAGUAACAAUUUUGUAUUAUUUAACCCAAACUUCUGCCACAUGAGGAAGUAAGAAAAAUCUUUCCCUCACUGGCAUCUGCUUUUGUCUGAAACUUCUCAUCCAAACAGCUUAGACUUUCUUGGUAUUCUGGCAUAAAUACUCUGAAGAACCCAUUAGAAGACUUGAAAGAGUACAGAAAGAGGAAAUCUCAAGAAUAGGUAAGAUUCUGCUUUGUGAGAAAGGGAAGUCGUGUGUCUGCUCUCCGAAACUCUGUUCUCAGUAAAAGCACCAUCAGGUCAAGAAAACAUGUACGUCAAUCAGUUCCUCUUUGCUUAAAUGAAUUCCGCAUGAAUUGGUCAUUUGCAACCAAGAGUUCUGACAAAUACAUUGCACAAGAAAAGAGAAAUCAUGAAUCAUGAAAAAUGGAUCUUAAUUCCUUUAAGAUGAUGGAGCCAGCAGCAAAUCACAUCUCUGUGGUGGGAACAGAGACAUCUAGAGAACAACUUCUUCGUGAGAAGAAAGAGAAGAGCUCUGGGAAUCAAGAAAGAACCAGUAGGAAAGCUAAAAAUCACAGAGAACAGAAGACAACCAGAGAAAGGAAUGAAGCAGUGUGGAAAGCUAACUCUGACUCCAGGGUAGAGGGGAUCUCACCCCCAAACACAAGAUACCUUGAAGUCUGCCUUGAAGAGGGAAGAAACAAAGACAAGAGCUUGGUGGAUAGAAUAGUGGUGAAUUUGACAUGACAUGAAGGACUGUGCCUCAUUCCGGGGCCUAUGAAGACACUCCGAAGGUUCUAAUCCAGCACAGAGGAGAGGGUGGCAGGAUUGGGCGUGCUAACUCAGCUGAGCUAGAGCUGAAAGGGGGAGAUAUUGGGGCCCAGAUUGAGGCAGGGAUUGAGGCUUGACCACAGGCAAGGACAGAGGCAAAGGAGGUGGAAAGCCCUGGGGAUGCACAGGCUGUGGAGGCACCGGAGAUUGUACUGACGUGAACAAAGUUGAAAGGCAGUCAUGUGAGUCAGGUAUGGUAGAAUGCAGGGACUCGGUAUGCAGAAGGGGAAGACCUCUGUAGGAACUGGAUGAUUUUGCUGUAACAGGUCUUCCAAAAUCUCCCAAAGAAAUGAGGGCUACUGAUAUACACGUG